Molecule: ribosomal RNA, 253 nt
Filed under: uncultured bacterium
Lineage: Bacteria
Description: partial 16S ribosomal RNA
Rfam family: Bacterial small subunit ribosomal RNA
Source: RNAcentral
GACAGAGGGUGCAAACGUUGUUCGGAAUUACUGGGCGUAAAGGGCGCGUAGGCGGCCUGCUAAGUCGAACGUGAAAUCCCCGAGCUCAACUCGGGAACUGCGUCCGAUACUGGCAGGCUUGAAUCCGGGAGAGGGAUGCGGAAUUCCAGGUGUAGCGGUGAAAUGCGUAGAUAUCUGGAGGAAUACCGGUGGCGAAGGCGGCAUCCUGGACCGGCAUUGACGCUGAGGAGCGAAAGCCAGGGGAGCAAACGGG